Molecule: long non-coding RNA, 323 nt
Filed under: Solanum melongena (eggplant)
Lineage: Eukaryota; Viridiplantae; Streptophyta; Magnoliopsida; Solanales; Solanaceae
Description: long non-coding RNA (SMEL_LNC000203)
Source: RNAcentral
UAUGGAUUGAAGCAAUCCCUGAGGGCGUGGUUUGAGAAGUUCAGUAAGACCAUAGUUUAAUUUGGCUACAAAAAAAAGGUGUGCUUCUGAUCACACACAUUUCGUAAUAAAGGGUGCGAAAGUGAGCCGGAUCAUAGUAAAUGUUUAGAAUAUUGUGGUCACUGAUGAUGAUGUUGAUGAGAUUGCAAGAUUGAAGGCUUACCUGAGCCGCACCUUCGACAUAAACUUGGCAUGCUAAGGUACUUCUUGGACACAGAGAUUUUCGAGAUCUAUAAAAAGUAGAGUCAUCUCUCAAAUUAUGUCCUUGAUUUGAAGAAAACAGG